AUUGAACGCUGGCGGCAGGCCUAACACAUGCAAGUCGAGCGGAUGAAGGGAGCUUGCUCCUGGAUUCAGCGGCGGACGGGUGAGUAAUGCCUAGAAAUCUGCCUGGUAGUGGGGGAUAACGUCCGGAAACGGGCGCUAAUACCGCAUACGUCCUGAGGGAGAAAGUGGGGGAUCUUCGGACCUCACGCUAUCAGAUGAGCCUAGGUCGGAUUAGCUAGUUGGUGGGGUAAAGGCCUACCAAGGCGACGAUCCGUAACUGGUCCGAGAGGAUGAUCAGUCACACUGGAACUGAGACACGGUCCAGACUCCUACGGGAGGCAGCAGUGGGGAAUAUUGGACAAUGGGCGAAAGCCUGAUCCAGCCAUGCCGCGUGUGUGAAGAAGGUCUUCGGAUUGUAAAGCACUUUAAGUUGGGAGGAAGGGCAGUAAGUUAAUACCGUGCUGUUUUGACGGUACCAACAGAAUAAGCACCGGCUAACUUCGUG
RNAcentral lists this ribosomal RNA (484 nucleotides) under uncultured bacterium. RNAcentral's name for it is "partial 16S ribosomal RNA". It matches the Rfam family "Bacterial small subunit ribosomal RNA", at positions 30 to 507 of the family's 1533-position model. The record is from RNAcentral.